Molecule: ribosomal RNA, 473 nt
Filed under: uncultured bacterium
Lineage: Bacteria
Description: bacterial SSU rRNA
Rfam family: Bacterial small subunit ribosomal RNA
Source: RNAcentral
AGUAGUUUGAUCAUGGCUCGAGGACGAACGCUGGCGGCGUGCUUUAGACAUGCAAGUCGAACGAGAUCUUCGGAUCUAGUGGCGAACGGCGGAGUAAUACAUAAACAACGUGCCCUGAAGACUGGGAUAUACGGUCGAAAGGCCGAGCAAUACCGGAUGUGGCCGAGACUAGGCAUCUAGACUCGAUUAAAUGGUUUUUCGCUUCAGGAGCGGUUUAUGACUCAUCAGCUAGUUGUAGGGUAAUGGCCUACCAAGGCUACGACGGGUAGGGGGUCUGAGAGGAUGAUCCCCCCGAGUGGGACUGAGACACGGCCCACACACCUACGGGUGGCAGCAGUUUGGAAUCUUGCCCAAUGGGGGAAACCCUGAGGCAGCGACGCCGCGUGGAGGAUGAAGGAUUUAGGUCUGUAAACUCCUUUUGCCAGGAAAGACUUAGGACGGUACCUGGCGAAUAAGCUCCGGCUAACUACGUG